GCGGACGGCUCAGUAACACGUAGUCAACCUAACUCGUGGACGUGGAUAACCUCGGGAAACUGAGAAUAAACCACGAUAGAUCAUAGUGCCUGGAAUGGCUUAUGGUCCAAACAGUUUACUGCCAUGGGAUGGGACUGCGGCCUAUCAGCUUGUUGGUGAGGUAAUGGCCCACCAAGGCGAUUACAGGUACGGGCUCUGAGAGGAGAAGCCCGGAGAUGGGUACUGAGACACGGACCCAGGCCCUAUGGGGCGCAGCAGGCGAGAAACCUUAGCAAUGUGCGAAAGCACGACUGGCUCAGUCCGAGUGAUUCCUGAUAAAGGAGUCUUUUGCUUGUCCUAAAAGCACAGGUGAAUAAGGGGUGGGCAAGUCUGGUGUCAGCCGCCGCGGUAAUACCAGCACCUCGAGUGGUCAGGACGUUUAUUGGGCCUAAAGCAUCCGUAGCCGGCUUUGCAAGUCUUCGGUUAAAUCCACCUGCUCAACAGAUGGGCCGCUGGAGAUACUACAGAGCUAGGGAGUGGGAGAGGCAGACGGUAUUCAGUGGGUAGGGGUAAAAUCCUCUGAUCCAUUGAGGACCACCAGUGGCGAAGGCGGUCUGCCAGAACACGUUCGACGGUGAGGGAUGAAAGCUGGGGGAGCAAACCGGAUUAGAUACCCGGGUAGUCCCAGCUGUAAACGAUGCAAACUCGGUGAUGCAUUGGCUUAUGGCCA
This 709-nucleotide ribosomal RNA is filed under the name uncultured archaeon. RNAcentral describes it as "bacterial SSU rRNA". It matches the Rfam family "Archaeal small subunit ribosomal RNA", at positions 81 to 792 of the family's 1478-position model. The record is from RNAcentral.